UACGAAGGGGGCUAGCGUUGUUCGGAAUCACUGGGCGUAAAGCGCAUGCAGGCGGAUUGUUAAGUCGGGGGUGAAAUCCCGAGGCUCAACCUCGGAACUGCCUUCGAUACUGGCAAUCUUGAGUCCGAGAGGUGAGUGGAACUGCGAGUGUAGAGGUGAAAUUCGUAGAUAUUCGCAAGAACACCAGUGGCGAAGGCGGCUCACUGGCUCGAUACUGACGCUGAGGUGCGAAAGCGUGGGGAGCAAACAGG
RNAcentral lists this ribosomal RNA (251 nucleotides) under uncultured bacterium. RNAcentral's name for it is "partial 16S ribosomal RNA". It matches the Rfam family "Bacterial small subunit ribosomal RNA", at positions 524 to 776 of the family's 1533-position model. The record is from RNAcentral.